Molecule: long non-coding RNA, 1373 nt
Organism: Capra hircus (goat)
Lineage: Eukaryota; Metazoa; Chordata; Mammalia; Artiodactyla; Bovidae
Exons: 4
Source: RefSeq, a predicted model, not a curated record
GGUGGUGUUAUUAUCCAUAUAUGUUAGGUAGAUGGACAAGGAAGGGUCAAUUAAUGUGGCUAAGGACACACAGUGAGUGAAUAUCUCAACUGGAAUUCAAAUCCAGGCCAGGGUGACUGCCAAGCCAGACUUCUUCGCUGCCACAUGGAAUCAAUCUUCUUUCUGGGUAGACUGUGCAGUGACUUGAGAGGUCUUACUGUCUUUAAAGCUGCCCUGCCAGGAAAUGCUAAUUUUUUCUCCAAGACUCGAGAGCCUUUAGAAGGGACUCUGGAGAUUGGGGGGAAAGUUUUCUGAACUGGCCUUGACUCCCAGGUCUCACCAUGGGUACGACUCUGCACUAAUUCCUUCAUCCUUCUGAGCCUCAUCUUCCUUACUUGAGUGUUGGGUGAAUGGGUGAUAUAACUCCUGGCCCUCGGCCUAGGGUUUGGCUGAGCAAUGCAGAGUCGGCGACAAAAGAGACAGAGGCCUGAGGGAGCUGCGCUGCUUGUCAACAUGCCUCAGAAAUUCAUGUUUGGAGGGCUGGAAUCAUGGAUAGCUGUGACAGUCUUGUUUAUUGAUAUGACAGGAGAUAUUCCAUCUCACAGCACCUGUGAAAUGACUGUAAGAAAAAGAAACCAACACACCCCCCUGCCAGAAGCUUGCCAUUCUAGGGAUAUUUGCAAGAAUUAAAUGAUCUUUUUACUUUCUUUCCUCACUUCCCCUCAUCUCUGAUCCAUAAAAGAACCUGGCAUCCAGGCCCUGACAAGAUGGUUAUUUUGAGAUGUUAGUCUGCCAUCUUCUUCUGGGUCAGCUGGCUUUCCAAAUAAAGUCAUAUUCUUUGCCUCAGCACCUCAUCUCUUGGAUUUAUUAGCCUAUCGUGUGGUGAGCAGAGUGAGCCUGGACUCAGUAACAUAAACUGUGAUUCCACAUACCUGUGAACUACAAAAUGGCACUCGCCUGUCAACUAUAAAUUGGCACUUGCCAAGAAGAUUGGCAGUGACUGAACAAUAAGGGCAUUUGCUGACUGCCUCUGUGGAGACUGAACCUGUGCUCCCGCAGCUGCUGCACUGCAACGGGAAUCCAGGGUGGAAUGAAGCAUUCUGUGCUCCAGGGAAUCUGGUGGAGCAGGUCUUUAGGUAGUUCGAUAUUUUCAGGAGCUGAUUUCACAAUCCCAAUCCUUGAAUCUCUUCAUAUCUAGAAAAUUACUAAAUCUCUUUAUGGUGAUAUUGUUAGGGGGGAAGCACACUGAUUGAAACCGCCCACCUUGGCCAGGCACCAUUUCCAUGAGUUGUUUCCUGACAGGAAAUCCUGGUAAGGAAUAUGGAACUAAUAAGCCACCACCAGCCGGAAGAGUUCGGGAAAGGUCGAAAGGAGACGCCGGGUGUCCGUCCACU